Molecule: long non-coding RNA, 5527 nt
Organism: Salvelinus fontinalis (brook trout)
Lineage: Eukaryota; Metazoa; Chordata; Actinopteri; Salmoniformes; Salmonidae
Exons: 3
Source: RefSeq, a predicted model, not a curated record
GCAUUAUAGAACCUACCAAGGCGUGGGGCCUCGAGGGCCUCAGCAAAAACAGAUCGCCCAACGCUCGUUCCUGAAGAAAAUGGAGAAGUCUUCAACGUAGCUGUACAUGGGAUACAUGAGGGCGUCUCUGAUGUUGGAGUGGUCCAGACCCAGGGCAUGACCAAACUCGUGGGCCGCAACCAGGAACAGACUGUAGCCUGAGAGAGGAGAGGGUGAGUAGAAACACAUCAUUAAGUCAGUUGUAGUGUGCACCUAUGGCCUGAGUGCAAGUCUGCUAUCAUGCCAACUACCCGUCAAGCCAUGUCAUGUUUGGCUGUAAAAUUACAGUAAUGGAGUUGGCUCGAGCACAAACAGAUCUGGGACCAGGCUAUAGAAGGAGACAACCGAUCUGGGACCAGGCUAUAGACGUAGACAACAGAUCUGUGACCAGGCUAUAGAAGUAGACAACAGAUCUGGGACCAGGCUAUAGAAGGAGACAACAGAUCUGGGACCAGGCUAUAGAAGUAGACAACAGAUCUGAAACCAGGCUAUAGAAGGAGACAACAGAUCUGGGACCAGGCUAGUGCACCUACAGUAAUAUACAUUUUCCACACUAUUCAACCAAGAUGAGCUAUACUGCGCUGUCCUGGUUAUGCAUAUACCAAGAACCAUGCUGGAAAGGGCAAUUUGAAAGUAAAUGAUCCGAGCCAGCAGUUUGAGUCAGCAUGGUAGGUGCACUGACACUGUCUAUGUCACUCACCCCUAUCUGGGCAGAAGCCCCAUUUCGUGUCUGCGUCAAAGUCGCCGGUGGUAGCGCACCACAGCCUGCCGUCUCCCCGUCCCUCGCUGGUGCAUGCGUCAUACUUCUUCCCCAGGAAGACAAAGGGGAACUGGCACGGCUCUCCCUCAGAGUUUCCACCAAUCACAGCCGUAUCUGUCAUAACACAGACACAACACUAUUAGGGAACAUGUGUCACUGAAGGCAGGCUAGUGAUUCAUGUAUGUGUGACAGUAAUCAGACCUGGUUUCAAAUACUAUUUUGUUUUCUCUGGCUGUGCUUGAUUGAGGUUUCCUGGAGCAAUGGAACCAUUGGAAUAGUCCCAAAAAUGCAAACCCCGCCCAUCUGACUCUCCAGACAGGAUCAAUCAAACAUUCAAAGUAUUUGAAAGAAAUAUAAUACUAUUUGAACCCAGGUAUGGUAGUGGUGACAGUGACACUCCCUCACCUCUGUUGGGACAGAAGCCAUAUUUCUUAUCCUUGUCAAAGUUGUCUGUGGUGGAACACCAGCGGUAUCCAUCACUGCGACCCUCCGUGGUGCAACCUUCAUAUGUCUCCCCCAGGAAAACGAAGGGGAACACACAUUCUUUGCCGUUGCUGUUUCCGUCGAAUGUGUACAGAACUGUGUGUGAGAAAACGGACAGAGGGAGCGAGAGAGAGAGAAAGAGGGAGAGAAAGAGAGAGAGAAAGAGGUAGAGAGACAGGGGACAUAUAAUUAGAGGCAUGUCAAAGCAAACUCUGUCUAAAAGACUUUCUGACCAAUCAUUCCUCUCAAGUAUUAACUAUCAAUCUUACGUUCACUUGGACAGAAGCCGAAUUUCUUGUCUCUGCCGUAGUCGGCUGUGGUGGCACACCAGGGCAGGUUGUCAGAGCGCCCCUCUGUGGUGCAGGUGGAGUACUCCUUGCCCUCGAAGGAGAAAGGGAAGUGGCACAGGGCACCCUCUGCGUUGCCAAAGCUAGUCUUCACAGCUAGAACAAAAAAAGUGAUGUUUUUAUUGGGAGCAAUUGUGAACAAUAGCUAUGUCAAACAUGAUUAAAUACAUAUAAUAAGAUGGUUCACUGCAGCUCAAGAUUUCAAUCCUACGGAUGAUGUGGAGAUGUUGACAGAGGCACAUAGUUCAGUUCAAUCUCAGUCAAUAAGAUGCUUAAAAUGGACACUACGGGGAGACCUAGUAUCAUGGAAUACUGGACACUACGGGGUGACCUAGCAUCAUGAAAUACUGGACACUACGGGGAGACCUAGUAUCAUGAAAUACUGGACACUACGGGGUGACCUAGCAUCAUGAAAUACUGGACACUACGGGGAGACCUAGCAUCAUGAAAUACUGGACACUACGGACGAGACCUAGCAUCAUGAAAUACUGGACACUACGGGGUGACCUAGCUCCAUGAAAUACUGGACACUACGGGGAGACCUAGCAUCAUGAAAUACUGGACACUACGGGGAGACGUAGCAUCAUGAAAUACUGGACACUACGGGGAGACGUAGCAUCAUGAAAUACUGGACACUACGGGGUGACCUAGCAUCAUGAGAUACUGGACACUACGCGGUGACGUAGCAUCAUGAAAUACUGGACACUACGGGCGAGACCUAGGUCCAUGAAAUACUGCCUGACUGAAACAGCCAGGAUUGACUAUACACCUCCAUGCUUACCUGCUCCUUUGCCGAGGGUCCAGUUUUCGUCAUCGUCAAAGUGGGCGUCUCCCUGUAUGCCCUCACCAGGGGGGAAGGCGUGGGCCAGAAGGCCGUCCUUACCAUCGAAGGGGUAGCCGUCUCCAUGAUCUGGAAAAUAACAAGGCAAUGAAUUAAUGCCAUUAAUUUCAUGCAGGGUUGGGGUCAAAUGUAUUUCAAUAUGGUCAGUUCAGUUAGUUCCUUUCAUGUUUCUUCAAUAAAGAUUUAAUUUGGAUGUGUAUUCUUCAAAUUAGAGAUAUGUUUAAAACUGUAAAUGUUCUGGGAGGCUGAGGCUGUUUAAUUGAUGCUUUCAGAGAUUGUAUGGCACAUAUUGCAUAGCCUUGAAAUCCAAAACUGACAUGCGCUGUUUCACUGAAGUGAAACAAUGGGUGAAAAAACAAGAGCAUCAGUUUGGAUCCCGGGCUGCGGUAACUGUAUUACCGCAGCCCUUCUUUACCUGCUUUUCCAAAUGACACCAUGAUGUCGGCGGUGCCGUCGAACAGUCGCGUGAAGGUGAGAGGGGUGACCUCGCUCCACACCUUGAAGGCUCUGGCGAAGGCAUCGUCUAUCAGAGAGGCUCCCAUGUCUGGUGAGUAGUUCAGGAUCCUAGAGAGAAAAGCAAAUCGCUAUGAAGGCAACUGAGGCUUUAACGGCCACAUGUUUAGCUACUUGCUCUGUUUACUGUAAAUCAUAUAGUAUUUCCAGGCCAUUGUUACACUGUGCACACCUGGCUUUAACUUCUCCGCACACUAUACCUGUAACACUAACCUCGUCCACACUGGGUGGAUGAGAUUACCCCAACCCUAAUGCUAGAACCCUAAACCAGUCCCACAUAAUCCCCUUCACAGUACCUGUAUGUAACAUCAUGAUGAUCCCAUUUUAGGUCCCCGUCAAAGGUCUGGUAGGAGCGUACGUCGGGUACCCCACAGCGAGGUGCCUUCAUGGCUGCUACCGUAGACUUGUCCAGCGUCCCUGUCUCCUCCAACCCCAUCUGCCUCUGCAUUCUCGUCAGAGCCUUGGAGUUGGACACCAUGGACUGGAAACCACUGCGGUGCUGAACGUUCAUGUAGCCAAAUCUCUUCAGGUAGCUCUGGAGCUCCAAAUCCGUCAUGUUCUUAAGGACAUCUCCAGGGAAGGUGACAGACACGCUUUUCUUCAGGGGAACGCACCAUCCACCUACAGUGCACAUUGCCAACACUAGGAAAACCAGAACUCUAUGGUGAGAUCUCAUGGUGAGACCAAGGUAAGAUGAAAGUCGCCCAAAGUAAUAGAGAAGAUACUAUGAUGUGCCAGACAGCCAAUGAAGGGACUCUCAGUGACAGUAACAAAGCUUGCAGUGGAUCACUGUUCCUUGAAGUUCAGUGGAUAGGAUGUUCUCCUUUGGUGCUUUGUGCUUUGGGUUCAGUAUUUAUGCUCUUAGUCUUAGUCACCCUCUUAACCUCCACCCCCUUUCUCUCUCUCUCUCUCUCUCUCUCUCUCUCUCUCUCUCUCUCUCUCUCUCUCUCUCACUCUCUCUCCCUCUCUCUCUCUCUCUCUCUCUCUCUCUCUCUCUCUCGGUCAUUACCCCUCCCACUGGGAGUGAGCAUAAUGUUAUUGUUCAGGGGGUUUCCAAAAUGUAGUAAUCUACAAAUGUAUCCCAAUAUCUAACUUUUUUUGUUCCGUUUUGACAUGUACAAGGAUCACAGGAGAUUGGUGGAACCUUAAUUAGGGAGGACAGGGCUCGUGGUAAUGACUGGAGCGGAAAUAAGUGGAAUGAUAUCAAAUACAUCAAACACGUGAUUUCCAUGAGUUCGAUGCCGUUCCAUUCGCUCCUUUCCAGACAUUAUUAUGAGCUGUCCUCCCGUCACCAGCCUCCACUGACGAGGAUAACAUACACAGUUGGGAACAUACACAGUUGAAUAAUUAUGUUUUGGCUUUUAUUCUAGUCAAAGCAAUGUAUGGAAUUUUGGCAAAAGAGUGACACUAUGACAUAAAUGUAAUCUAAAAUAACUAUUUCUUAUGGGAACCUAUUUCCUGUAGUAACAGGAAAUGCCAGCAUAACAACAUAUCCCUCAACGUAACCAAGACUAAGAAGAUGAUUGUGGACUACAGGAAAAGGAGGACCGAGCACGCCCCCAUUCUCAUCGACGGGGCUGCAGUGGAGCAGGUUGAGAGCUUCAUGUUCCUUGGUGUCCACAUCAACAACAAACUAGAAUGGUCCAAACACACCAAGACAGUCAUGAAGAGGGCACGACAAAGCCUAUUCCCCCUCAGGAAACUCAAAAGGUUCUACAGCUGCAACAUCGAGAGCAUCCUGACUGGUUGCAUCACUGCCUGGUACGGCAAUUGCUUGGCCUCUGACCGCAAGGCACUACAGAGGGUAGUGUGAACGGCCCAGUACAUCACUGGGGCCAAGCUUCCUGCCAUCCAGGACCUCUACACCAGGUGGUGUCAGAGGAAGGCCCUAAAAAUUGUCAAAGACCCCAGCCACCCCAGUCAUAGACUGUUCUCUCUACUACCGCAUGGCAAGCGGUACCGGAGUGCCAAGUCUAGGACCAAAAGGCUUCUCAACAGUUUUUACCCUCAAGCCAUAAGACUCCUAAAUAGGUAAUCAAAUGGCUCCCCGGACUAUUUGCAUUGUGUGCCCCCCCCAACCCCUCUUUUUACACUGCUGCUACUCUCUGUUUAUCAUAUAUGCAUAGUCACUUUAACUAUACAUUCAUGUACAUACUACCUGAAUUGGGCCGACCAACCAGUGCUCCCGCACAUGGGCUAACCGGGCUAUCUGCAUUGUGUCCCGCCACCCACCACCCGCCAACCCCUCUUUUACACUACUGCUACUUUCUGUUCAUCAUAUAUGCAUAGUCACUUUAACCAUAUCUACAUGUACAUACUACCUCAAUCAGCCUGACUAACCGGUGUCUGUAUGUAGCCUCGCUACUUUUAUAGCCUCGCUACUGUAUAUAGCCUGUCUUUUUACUGUUUUAUUUCUAUACCUACCUAUUGUUCACCUAAUACCUUCUUUGCACUAUUGGUUAGAGCCUGUAAGUAAGCAUUUCCCUGUAAGUUCUACACCUUAGUUUUAUUCGGCGCACGUAAUAAACUUUGAUUUGAUUUGAA